GACGAACGCUGGCGGCGUGCUUAACACAUGCAAGUCGAAUGGAAAGGCCCUGCUUUUGUGGGGUGCUCGAGUGGCGAACGGGUGAGUAACACGUGAGUAACCUGCCCUUGACUUUGGGAUAACUUCAGGAAACUGGGGCUAAUACCGGAUAGGAGCUCCUGCUGCAUGGUGGGGGUUGGAAAGUUUCGGCGGUUGGGGAUGGACUCGCGGCUUAUCAGCUUGUUGGUGGGGUAGUGGCUUACCAAGGCUUUGACGGGUAGCCGGCCUGAGAGGGUGACCGGCCACAUUGGGACUGAGAUACGGCCCAGACUCCUACGGGAGGCAGCAGAGGGGAAUAUUGCACAAUGGGCGGAAGCCUGAUGCAGCAACGCCGCGUGCGGGAUGACGGCCUUCGGGUUGUAAACCGCUUUCGCCUGUGACGAAGCGUGAGUGACGGUAAUGGGUAAAGAGGCACCGGCUAACUACGUG
RNAcentral lists this ribosomal RNA (468 nucleotides) under uncultured bacterium. RNAcentral describes it as "partial 16S ribosomal RNA". It matches the Rfam family "Bacterial small subunit ribosomal RNA", at positions 28 to 507 of the family's 1533-position model. The record is from RNAcentral.